Molecule: long non-coding RNA, 190 nt
Organism: Teleopsis dalmanni
Lineage: Eukaryota; Metazoa; Arthropoda; Insecta; Diptera; Diopsidae
Exons: 2
Source: RefSeq, a predicted model, not a curated record
CAGAAUUAUUAUCAGUAUUAAUUACGCUUUCUUACCAUAUAAACAAAUUAUUAAUUAAAUUGCAUUUAAACAAUGGGAUUUCUUAAGAAAAUUGGCAAGAGAAUUGAACGUGUCGGCCAAAAUACCAGAGAUGCCACAAUCCAGACGAUUGCAGUAGCUCAACAGGCAGCAAAUGUGGUGGCAACUGUGA